GAGUUUGAUCCUGGCUCAGGACGAACGCUGGCGGCGCGCCUAACACAUGCAAGUCGAACGAGCGAGAGAGAGCUUGCUUUCUCGAGCGAGUGGCGAACGGGUGAGUAACGCGUGAGGAACCUGCCUCAAAGAGGGGGACAACAGUUGGAAACGACUGCUAAUACCGCAUAAGCCCACAGCUCGGCAUCGAGCAGAGGGAAAAGGAGCAAUCCGCUUUGAGAUGGCCUCGCGUCCGAUUAGCUAGUUGGUGAGGUAACGGCCCACCAAGGCGACGAUCGGUAGCCGGACUGAGAGGUUGAACGGCCACAUUGGGACUGAGACACGGCCCAGACUCCUACGGGAGGCAGCAGUGGGGAAUAUUGCACAAUGGGGGAAACCCUGAUGCAGCGACGCCGCGUGGAGGAAGAAGGUCUUCGGAUUGUAAACUCCUGUUGUUGAGGAAGACAAUGACGGUACUCAACAAGGAAGUGACGGCUAACUACGUGCCAGCAGCCGCGGUAAAACGUAGGUCACAAGCGUUGUCCGGAAUUACUGGGUGUAAAGGGAGCGCAGGCGGGAAGACAAGUUGGAAGUGAAAUCCAUGGGCUCAACCCAUGAACUGCUUUCAAAACUGUUUUUCUUGAGUAGUGCGGAGGUAGGCGGAAUUCCCGGUGUAGCGGUGGAAUGCGUAGAUAUCGGGAGGAACACCAGUGGCGAAGGCGGCCUACUGGGCACCAACUGACGCUGAGGCUCGAAAGUGCGGGUAGCAAACAGGAUUAGAUACCCUGGUAGUCCACACUGUAAACGAUGAUUACUAGGUGUUGGAGGAUUGACCCCUUCAGUGCCGCAGUUAACACAAUAAGUAAUCCACCUGGGGAGUACGACCGCAAGGUUGAAACUCAAAGGAAUUGACGGGGGCCCGCACAAGCAGUGGAGUAUGUGGUUUAAUUCGACGCAACGCGAAGAACCUUACCAAGUCUUGACAUCCUGCGACGCACAUAGAAAUAUGUGUUUCCUUCGGGACGCAGAGACAGGUGGUGCAUGGUUGUCGUCAGCUCGUGUCGUGAGAUGUUGGGUUAAGUCCCGCAACGAGCGCAACCCUUAUGGUCAGUUACUACGCAAGAGGACUCUGGCCAGACUGCCGUUGACAAAACGGAGGAAGGUGGGGAUGACGUCAAAUCAUCAUGCCCUUUAUGACUUGGGCUACACACGUACUACAAUGGCGUUAAACAAAGAGAAGCAAGACCGCGAGGUGGAGCAAAACUCUGAAACAACGUCCCAGUUCGGACUGCAGGCUGCAACUCGCCUGCACGAAGUCGGAAUUGCUAGUAAUCGCAGAUCAGCAUGCUGCGGUGAAUACGUUCCCGGGCCUUG
Molecule: ribosomal RNA, 1353 nt
Filed under: uncultured bacterium
Lineage: Bacteria
Description: 16S ribosomal RNA
Rfam family: Bacterial small subunit ribosomal RNA
Source: RNAcentral